GAUGAACGCUGGCGGCGUGCCUAAUACAUGCAAGUCGAGCGAACAGACGAGGAGCUUGCUCCUCUGACGUUAGCGGCGGACGGGUGAGUAACACGUGGAUAACCUACCUAUAAGACUGGGAUAACUUCGGGAAACCGGAGCUAAUACCGGAUAAUAUAUUGAACCGCAUGGUUCAAUAGUGAAUGACGGUGUUGCUGUCACUUAUAGAUGGAUCCGCGCCGCAUUAGCUAGUUGGUAAGGUAACGGCUUACCAAGGCAACGAUGCGUAGCCGACCUGAGAGGGUGAUAGGCCACACUGGAACUGAGACACGGUCCAGACUCCUACGGGAGGCAGCAGUAGGGAAUCUUCCGCAAUGGGCGAAAGCUUGACGGAGCAACGCCGCGUGAGUGAUGAAGGUCUUCGGAUCGUAAAACUCUGUUAUUAGGGAAGAACAAAUGUGUAAGUAACUAUGCACGUCUUGACGGUACCUAAUCAGAAAGCCACGGCUAACUACGUG
This 497-nucleotide ribosomal RNA is filed under the name uncultured bacterium. RNAcentral describes it as "partial 16S ribosomal RNA". It matches the Rfam family "Bacterial small subunit ribosomal RNA", at positions 28 to 507 of the family's 1533-position model. The record is from RNAcentral.